GGCCACAUCACGUUGAAACACUGGUUCCCGUACGAUCACCGAAAUUAAGCAACUUCGAUCCUGGUCAGUACCAAAAUGGGUGACCGCUUGGGAAUACCAGAUACUGUAA
Acanthosepion pharaonis is the source of this 109-nucleotide non-coding RNA. The record is from the annotation of a GenBank genome assembly. Lineage: Eukaryota; Metazoa; Mollusca; Cephalopoda; Sepiida; Sepiidae.